CUUGGUCAUUUAGAGGAAGUAAAAGUCGUAACAAGGUCUCCGUUGGUGAACCAGCGGAGGGAUCAUUACAGAGUUGCAAAACUCCCAACCCUUUGUGAACGAACCUACCAGUUGCCUCGGCGGCGAGCCUUUCAGGCGGACCGCCGAAGGAAUACAAACUCUUUGCAUUAUAGUAUCUCUGAUUACUUAUUCAAUAAGUUAAAACUUUCAACAACGGAUCUCUUGGUUCUGGCAUCGAUGAAGAACGCAGCGAAAUGCGAUAAGUAAUGUGAAUUGCAGAAUUCAGUGAAUCAUCGAAUCUUUGAACGCACAUUGCGCCCGCUAGUAUUCUGGCGGGCAUGCCUGUUCGAGCGUCAUUUCAACCAUCAAGCCCUAGGCUUGUGUUGGAGCCCUGCGGCUGCCGCAGCCUCCUAAAAACAGUGGCGGGCUCGCUAUCACACCGAGUGCAGUAGUUUACUCUUCGCUCAGGGCGUGUGGCGGGUGCUGGCCGUGAAACCCCCUACUUCUUAAGGUUGACCUCGGAUCAGGUAGGAAUACCCGCUGAACUUAAGCAUAUCAAUAAGCGGAGGA
Molecule: ribosomal RNA, 570 nt
Filed under: uncultured Ascomycota
Lineage: Eukaryota; Fungi; Ascomycota
Description: eukaryotic LSU rRNA
Rfam family: 5.8S ribosomal RNA (bases 203-356)
Source: RNAcentral